This 91-nucleotide ribosomal RNA is filed under the name Syrrhopodon banksii. Its description in RNAcentral is "partial 26S ribosomal RNA". Lineage: Eukaryota; Viridiplantae; Streptophyta; Bryopsida; Dicranales; Calymperaceae. The record is from RNAcentral.
AGUGGACUCGGGGCUGGGAAAGUGAAAGAAAAGAAAGACCUCAGUCACGCUUCAGACCUCUGAUCAGGGAAGGCUACCCGCUGAGUUUAAG